GCAAAUAAGGUAAUCAUUAAAGCAAUCUUCCAAAUGUGUUCCAAAAUAUAAGCAGACACGAACUAUAAUAUACCCAAGUAUUAUACAGAGCAGUGUGUGUUCACUGUAAGGGCAGACCGACAAUAUUCUUCCUACUUGUGGGCUGCCUCUCUUCAAUGGAGGCUGUUCUUCCCGUUGCCAGAGAGAACGUGGGGUAACGAGUGAGAGAGUAGGAAUAGGGCAUGCUUGGGACAUCAGGGUCAGGGAUCCAGAGGGCUUAGCCUGUGCUGUGGCCACUGAGAGAUAAAACACAGAUCUUUGGUAAUCUGAUGGCU
Cervus hanglu yarkandensis (Yarkand deer) is the source of this 314-nucleotide small nucleolar RNA. NCBI's taxonomy places the organism in Eukaryota, Metazoa, Chordata, Mammalia, Artiodactyla, Cervidae. The record is from Ensembl.